Long non-coding RNA from Oxyura jamaicensis (ruddy duck), 3289 nucleotides. RefSeq lists it as uncharacterized. Lineage: Eukaryota; Metazoa; Chordata; Aves; Anseriformes; Anatidae. The record is from RefSeq and is a predicted model, not a curated record. The transcript has 3 exons.
CAAUCGAAAAACUGAACAUCCUGUCAAAAGUGACAUUUUCUUGGAUGGAAAUCGAUUUAUUUAUUUUCUUUGAAACUGCACAUUUCACGAGGAUGACUUGAGUCAGAACAUUUUUACCAGCUCUUCUGAAGACUUGGUCAUGAGGAAACCAUCAAAAUGUAUGGGAGGAAAUUUCAUAAAUAACAAAAAAUGAAGCAACGCCUAUGCAACGAAGCAGGAAAUGAGUGCUGGCAUCUGAAGCUUUGGUGGUGCUUUACACAUCCAAGGAGGGUUAUUACUCUGUUUUACUACUGCAGGUUGAAAACAACCCAAACCUUUCCCGGGAGGUGAAGUUCAAACCACUACAUAUAUUUUUUUUUUGUUAGCUGUCUCACUUUUUAUUGGUUUAUUUUGAACUCUGUGUAUGCAUACAGCGUUGGAGGAUUUACUCUGUAAUGGGAGGAAGCCGUUUUUGUUGUAAAAGCCUGUCUGAACUACUGGUAGUCUGGUGGUUGGAACUUCAAAGCUUUUCCCUCAAGCAGCUGGGCAUUUUUUGGUAAAUGAGGAAACUCCAGCCAUAUUCUGCAUCUUUGUCUGGAGGACCAUGUGGCUUUUUCAAUUUGCAGACCCCAAGAUAUCACCUUCUGCAGCUGGAAAGCCUUGUUGGCAGUGCUGUCCGAUGGUCAGAGAAUGCUGGCAACUAAGGACAUCUUUCGUUAAGCUGUGUAAUGUAUCUGAAAACAAAAAAUAGUAUGGUUUUGGGUGCAAAAGCCCUUCUCGAAGUUAGAUUUCGAAGCUAAGGACAUUUGCUGACAGUUCAGUUGGAUGUGUACCUGUUAGAGUAUCUUUGAAAGAAAAUGAUAUGCUAUAAGCUGGUGCCUGUAGCAUAGUGGGAGCGUUGGCAAAGGGAGAGCUGGUGAUAAGCGUCUUAACUUGUGGAGGAAAAUGAGAGCCAGGUCCUUUAUAGCCUGUGAAACACGGCAAGGUUAGCGAGGGGCUGAGAUUAUAUUGUUCCAUGAGACUAAUAUCUUGAGUUUUAUGUUUUCUGGUUCCCAGUACAGCUAUCAGUCUUGUUCUCACGUUCGCUGUUGGACAGUGUUUUUCAGGGCUCUUGGAGUAGCUCAGGACCGAGAGAUCAGAGAGGGAGUGACAGUUUUGUCAGAGGUUUUCCCCCUUCAGCAGCGUGUUCCUCAUCUUCGAGUGGUCGUUUGAGCAAUUGCUGAUGCAAGUCUUAAAUACAGGAGAAAAGCUUUCUCAGUCUUCAGAAGCAUGAGUUUAAAACAAUCAAUAAUUUCUGUGUUUUAAAAAGUUUGGAGAAAGUCACAAUUUCACUGUUUCAGAAUUCAGAGGCAGUGCUUCUGGUUCCACAGCUUAAGAAAAAUGAUAUGCUGCACUGGGGAAGAGAAGUGCGAUCCUUGCUUUCCCCAUCUGCAUCUGUUCCAUCCCCUUUUAUUCCUACUGCAGGUAGGAAUAGGGUCUGAAGACAUCAGCACCUUUCCUGUUAGAAACCAUCAUGCUUUCUGGUUAAAUUUAUAUAUGGGAGAGAUAGAUCCAGCCAUGCUUAUGCUAAUGCUGGUUUAAAGAGCCACCUCCGGCUUUUUCUGCGAGGUAAGUAUGUGGAGAAGCUGUGGACCCUCUCAACUGUUGUUUUGUCACACAAACACAGCAAGAUACUUCAGUUUCUUCUCCUAAACUGAGCUGGCCAAUAGCCUUCAAGUAGCACUAUUCCAUACAUUUCCCCCCUGCCCUGGCUUUGUGCAGUGCCCACCCAAUGGCAGUCCCAUCUAUCCUUCAUCGUCAGCUGCAUGGAUUUGGCUUUUUCACAGCACCUUCAGACUGCUGCUUGGUAAUUUCACAAUCAGCCUAUCCCCCAGAGCCUUCUUCAGCCAUCGUUUCAAGCAGCAAGUGAUUUUUUUUUGUCAGCAAUUCCAGAUUACCACUAUGGACACUGCUCGGCUCCAUCCCGAGGCAUACCCCAUUAAUUCUGGCUGCAAAAUGUUCCAAAUUUGCUGUGGGAUGGCAGUUCUUAUCAUCAGCAAAUCGGAUCGGCACGCUCCAAAAGUCACGCAGAGGCUAUUAAUUUAAAUAAUACGGAAAAUUAUUCCCCAAACUAUUUUUUACCUUCCAGAGUGGUUCAUUCCUCCCCAGUGCAAUCUGUUGCUGUCCCUCCUUUGAGCUGAUUUCUUAGCUGCUUUCAAUUCCUCUGCUAAUCCCCAUUCUCUCCAUUUCGAGUAUUUCCCUUGUGGCAUUAUAACCAACACUUUAUUGAAGUUUGAAUAGACUCCAUUCUUGCAUGUCCUUUAUCUAAGAAAUGAGUUAUCUUUCUAGAGAAAGCUACCAACUAAUUCUUGUAUGGUCUCUCUUUGGUAAGCUCAUGCUAUGCUUUUUCUUCUCUUUGUGUUUGUCAGCCUUUUAUUGUUCUUUCCUUCAAAAGUUGUUCCUCUGCUGUCAAAUUAACAUUUUGUAAUUGCCUCCAAUUCACCCUUCUUCCUCACUUUCAUGCUCUGUAGAUUGAUAUUUUUCACUCUUAUGACACUACUGUGAGUUGCUAGAUUUAAUAAAAAUCCUCUCUGUUAGCACAGUGAUCUCAUGAGAUUUCUAUAAAGAAUAAAAAGGCUCCCAAGGUGGAAAGCAAGCUCCUGGUGGCAAAGGAAUUAGAGCCAAAAGAGAUCAAGAAAGUGGAUUUCCACUCCUACAGCUUAGAAACAAUUCUCUGCCCUUUCCAUGUUCCACUGGAUGAUGUCCUUCUUGCUCUUUGCACUUGGAAGUCUGUAGGUGAGGCUCAGUUAAUUCAAGCUCUUUACCUUUUGGGGUCUGGGAGGACUUAAAUUCACUGGGAAUAGCUACAAGGUGCUUGCUUUGGGAGGGAAAAAACAGGAUUUCUCCUGGGAAAGAUGGAGAUGUCUUUGUGCCAUGGUGGGCACAGCUCCCUGUGGCAAGGUUCAGGGGAAGGCAGGCUUCUAAGUUGGCAGGUACUUGUUGGUCUUGAAGAGAACACUGUGGUGGACAACAAUGCCUUUACAAGCAAUCCUGGGGGCUUUUCUUUCGCAGUUACUGAUGCUUUUGGGAGAGGGCUGUGGGACACCAUGCUGUUUUUGUUUUUGUUGUUUUUUAACCAUUGUUUAUAAUUAUGUUUCACCAUUGUCUAAAGUGGGCAAUAUGCCACUGUGCUCAGUGCUGUACCAGCAAGGUGAUGAUGCCUGCUCUGAGGGAUUUCUAGUCUAAGGAUUACCAGAAUGUGAUCUGGAUUUCUUGGCUGGAGCUUGCGGAACAAGAACUGUGUAACACCAGCCAGGAGCUGCAAGCUGAA